This is a long non-coding RNA of Morone saxatilis (striped sea-bass), 936 nucleotides long. RefSeq lists it as uncharacterized. The transcript has 2 exons. The record is from RefSeq and is a predicted model, not a curated record. NCBI's taxonomy places the organism in Eukaryota, Metazoa, Chordata, Actinopteri, Moronidae.
AUGCCGAGGUGUUUAUUUAAAUACAAUCAUUAAAAAGAGCAUCGAUGUACCUUUUAAUUCUCCUGCUGCUCCUUUAAGCCUUUUUUUACUUUCAAAGCAUUUUCUCCUUUGAUCCCACAAACAGCGAGUCCAACCCCACCGCGUUCACUCUCCCACUCCCCACAUCCACAGGAGAGGAGAGUCGGAAAACACAGCUUCCUUUUUAAAGACGGAUCUGACUGAGUUCAAAGAAAAAAGUUCUCUGGAAAGGAAAAGAAAGAGAGAAUUGGCACAAAAAAAAACGAUGUAACACUGUGCAAAAAAAAUAAAGGAGGGUUUCUUAUUUCCUUCAAUGGGAAAUGAAAACUACAGAAUCAAAAGAGGGCAGGUAGAAAAGAUUAGAUAAAAUGAAAGGUGUUUUAAGACGGGGAGGUGUGUGUGUGUGUGUGUGUGAUAUUUACAUUUUAAACUGAUGCUCUCACCCAGAGUGAUGUGCAAUGAGUGCAACAUGAGAGUGCACUCCAAUUCCUCAAUCUGUAAUAAUACCUCAACGCUCGAAUGACUCUGUCAGAUGCAGAAGAGCUGGAAGAGAAAGUCCAGAAGCAAGAGAGGAUUUAGCAUGUGGAAGCUGGUAGAGGCAGCGACGAGUUUACGAGUUUACGAGUGUACGAGUACGUUUAUCCUGAUGGGAUGUAGCUCUAAGGUUAUGAGUGACUGGUGCAGUCUUUAAAGGGGAUUGGGAGGUAAUUACUACAGUGCUGAGGAAACGUGAGAGAUAAGAGUGGAGAGGUGAAUCUGUUGCAGCAGGGAGGGAAAAGCAAAACAUUUCGUGGGAGGAAGACCAACAUGAUUAAGGAAAAGUGAAGGUGAAGAGCCCUCCAACAAGGACAAGGCGAAAGAGAGAGACAGAGAGGAGAGGGAGAAGAAGGUCAAAGACGGAGAGAGAGAAAAGGAGAA